CUGGCGGCGUGCUUAACACAUGCAAGUCGAACGGAGUUGAGGAGCUUGCUCCUUAACUUAGUGGCGAACGGGUGAGUAACGCGUGAGGAACCUGCCUUUCAGUGGGGGACAACAGUUGGAAACGACUGCUAAUACCGCAUAAUGUGCCGGGAGGGCAUCCUCCUGGUACCAAAGCUUUAUGUGCUGAAAGAUGGCCUCGCGUCUGAUUAGCUAGUUGGUGAGGUAACGGCCCACCAAGGCGACGAUCAGUAGCCGGCCUGAGAGGGUGACCGGCCACAUUGGGACUGAGACACGGCCCAAACUCCUACGGGAGGCAGCAGUGGGGAAUAUUGCACAAUGGGGGAAACCCUGAUGCAGCAACGCCGCGUGAGUGAAGAAGUAUUUCGGUAUGUAAAGCUCUAUCAGCAGGGAAGAAAAUGACGGUACCUGACUAAGAAGCCCCGGCUAACUACGUG
This 455-nucleotide ribosomal RNA is filed under the name uncultured bacterium. Its description in RNAcentral is "bacterial SSU rRNA". It matches the Rfam family "Bacterial small subunit ribosomal RNA", at positions 36 to 507 of the family's 1533-position model. The record is from RNAcentral.